Molecule: unclassified non-coding RNA, 4736 nt
Filed under: Pectinophora gossypiella (pink bollworm)
Lineage: Eukaryota; Metazoa; Arthropoda; Insecta; Lepidoptera; Gelechiidae
Description: zinc finger protein 28-like
Source: RNAcentral
UAUGCGAUGCACUUGACAUUGUUUAUAUUUUGCGAUCGCAAAAAUACUCAAUAUUUAAUGAGAAAACUUGUUAAAAUUUCUAAUUGGAUAUCAUUGUGAAUAAAUAUCAAAAUGCUCGUCCAAUUCGUGUUAAAUACUUAGCAGCUACGUGUUAAAAUUUCUAUGAAUUUGCCUUAGGAGUAAAAACUUUGUUUUUUACGAGCUAUUAUGUGUUAAAUACGAUAAGAAAAUGCGUUGUAGUGUGCCUAAUUGUUCAAAUGAUACGAAACGAACAACUAAGAGCCAUGGGAUCACGUUUCACAUGUUCCCUAAGGAGCCGAACCUUCGCACGGCGUGGGUGGAAGCCCUGGGCCUGGUGGAGUGGGAGCCCAAGGACCGCAGCACCAUCUGCUCCGAGCACUUCCGCAACGAAGACUUCUACCUCACCAAGUGUGGGCUGAGGAGGGUUAAGAACGGAGCUGUACCAGUCACAGUGCAGGACUCCACUGAAGAUCUGGAUGCGCCUGCAGCACUUAGGGUGUGCAGGAUAUGUCUGACGAUGGACGCGAGGAUGUACCACAUAAGAGAGUACAAGCUGGACCAGGUCUACCACCAGGUCACUGGUUUGUCGAUAUCAGAUGAUGACAAGUUACCACAGAAGCUGUGCUGGGAGUGUGCACACCGGCUGGUCACCUGCUCACGUCUCAAGGGCAGAGCGGCGCGGAGUCAGGGCUUGCUGAUGGAGACACUGGUUAUGUAUGAUUAUAUAACAAUAAGGGACAUCAAAUCGAUCAACCGGGCACACAGCAACCUGAAAACAACCUUAGUGACUAAGUACUUUGACCCCAAUGACUACGAUAUACACGUGAAGGACAACCAGGUGUUCGUCAAGACUGAAUCAUCACCGGUUGAUGAUGAUGAUGACAUGAAGGAGGAGCUGGUGUUCGAUGACGGAAUUGGUGAAGACAUUGUACCAAUACCGCCUAUUAUGGAAGUGGAAAUAAAGGACGAACAAUCAGGGGAAAUAUUUUUCGAAGAAUUCCCGGACAAUUUCGAAUCGGACGAUGAUAAGAAAUUGAGUGAGGUGAUAACGGAAAGGAGGGAUAAAACCGAGAAAAGGGAGAAGAAGAUGAAGAAGAAAAAGUUGAAGAUGGAAAAGGUCGAGAAGAAAGUGAAGACGGUGAAGAAACGAGAGGCGAGAGGCGUGGGGAAGAAAGACGAGGAAGAUGAGGAUCCUUCCACUACUAUGGAUAAGUACAAAAAUUCGGACGUGAGGCGUCGAAAAACUCAAGAUGGGCUCGACGAGUCGUUAUUCACGAUUACAACACUCAGCUACGAAGAACAGAUAUCGGAGAUUGAGAAGCGGCAAGAGUCCACCAACUACCGCACCGCGCCGUUCAAGUGCGGCGUGUGCUACCGUGGUUUCAUGAUACGAGACCGCUACGACGCGCACACGCAGAGACACAGCGAGGCGAGUGGUGCGUACGAGUGUUUCAUCUGCAAGACGCGUCUGAAGACGGGCCGCGCGCUGAGGAAGCACCUCACAGCGCAACACACGGAAAAAUUCAGCUGCAAAGGGUGCCCGUUCGUUACUAGGAAUAGGGGUGUGGCUCGGGAGCAUGAGAAGUGGCACGCUGGAACCAAGUACCAGUGUCCGCACUGCCCGAGUGAGUUCGACAAGCUGACGACGUACAUGGGACACAUUCGCAUAAAGCACGUGUCAGACUUCGUGUGCGAACUGUGCGGGUACACGUUCGUCAGCAAGAAGGGCAUCGACGUCCACAAGAAGAAGAAACAUCGGCUGGACGAUAAGAUGCAGGUGCCAAUAGACGGUCCAUACUGCGAGGUAUGCGACGUGCGGUUCAUAUCGGAGGAGGCGCACUCGAGGCACCUCAAGCUGUCCUCCAGGCACAGCAGCGACAAUGACCCUAACCGUAUAAGAAACGACUCGCAAAGCAUGAACGCAGAGAAGAAUGGGCGCGUAAUGCGCAAGAUAGAGAGGAGACCCGUCAUACACCCGAGAGACCCCACACAGAGAGACCCCAGCCGGCCCGAGCCCUCCGGCCCUGUCACCUGCGAACAGUGCGGCAUCCAACUGCGCGAUCUCCGUCUAUACGCGCAGCACUUCCGUCGAGCGCACCCGGACAAGAAUCGAACCAAAUACCCCGCCAUGAAGACGCCUUGUAUGUGCGAGCAGUGCGGUCGGAUAUUCCAGAGCAUGGCCCUUCUCAAAGACCACAUGUGGGUGCAUACGGGCGAGAAGCGGUUCAAAUGCGAUCGUUGCUCCAAGUCGUUCACCCAGAAGACCAACCUGGUGUUCCACAUGAGGGUGCACAGCAACGCGCGCCCCACCUACGAGUGUCCGCUGUGCGGGAAGCACUUCGCCUUCUUCAACAACCGCAGGAGGCAUAUGUUUAUCCACACAGGCCUGAAGCCCUUCAAAUGCGACACCUGCGGGAAGUGCUUCACGACGUCAGGCGAGCAGCGCGCCCACGUGGAACAUGUACACAUGAAGAAGCCCUGGCCGAAGAGGGUGAGGCAGCGGCCGCAGGACUGGGCCAACAAGAUGCCGCCCUGCGAGGACUAGCUGUACUAACUUGGUAGGGUCGAUAUUCGUAAGGUCUGUGGGAUCACUAAGGUCUGUGGGAUCACUAAGGUCUGUGGGAUCACUAAGGUCUGUGGGAUCACUAAGGUCUGUGGGAUCACUAAGGUCAGUGGGAUGACUAAGGUCUGUGGGAUGACUAAGGUUAGUGGGAUCACUAAGGUUAGUGGGAUCACUAAGGUUAGUGGGAUCACUAAGGUUAGUGGGAUGACUAAGGUCAGUGGGAUCACUAAGGCCGUGAUUUUCGUGGUCAAUGGGGUCUGAGGUCAGCAAUACCGCUAAAAGUGAUCCUGCGAGAACUAGGUGCACUAACUUGGUAUGGUCAAGGUUGGUAAGGUCAGCGCGCUUUUAUAACAGGACCUAAUCGAUACGAAACAAACGAGAUUUUAAUAGGCCUUCUGAUGUAAAAGUUAUUGUAGGUAGAUAGUACUCGAAAGGUAGGUUAUAGGAAAAUGGAUCUCAGAAUUGGGUAGUUUCCUGGAUCAAAGAUAAAUUAUGUAAUUCUGAUUACUAAAUAAAGACAGAUCUGUGACAAAAAUCGUUUUCUUUUUGUCUAUAUAACUUAUUUAUGAAUUUAAAUAAAGAAAAAUAAAUAAAUAAAUAAUAAUAAUAAGCGCGAUAUUUUGUCACGUUUUUCUAUGAAGUCACAGGUUUUUUCAUACAAAUUCCAUAGUGAUUUAGUGUUGUUGACGUUCAGUAAAAAGUAACUGAUUUGACUUGUUGGAAACUACCAUGUUACUAGAUGUAGCUACUGGAUUAAAAUAGAGAUUACAAAUUCUAAUGUGUGGUUGUAGUACGAGUGAUUUUUGUAUGAGUGAGUUUUGGCGGCAAUGUUGUUUUUUUUUUAUCGAAUGCGUUUGCUUUUGACGCCGUGGUAGCCCAGUUGGUAGAACGCUUUCCUCUCACUUUGAGGUCGCGGGUUCGAAUCCAGCACAGGCCUGAACCAAAGAUUGUCGAAUUCAUAAUUGGAUCAUAUAUGAUUAUCACGUUCUCAGCGGUGAAGGAAAACAUCGUGAGGAAACCCACAUUCCCCAGAUGCAUUUUCGGAGGUAUGUGACCUAACCUGUAUUGGGCUGGUUUUCCCUUCGCGGGUUGGAAGGUCAGACAGGCAGUCGCUUCUGUAAAAAACCGGACCUGUCAAAUGUUCAGGUUAGGUAAGCGGACCCUGUGGAAAACGGGAUAAUGCUAGGGGGCUGGGUUUGCUCUUGACGCCAUUCCGCCUCUGAUAAGCCUGAAUGAGGUGAAUGUGGACGGUGUAACGAGCUAGUGUUUAACGAAGGUAUGAGUCCGCGCCACGGAAGAAAGCCUAGGUAUGGAAUAAGGAAUAAUACUAUGUAUGGACCGGCAUCUCUGCGCUCCCCACCAGCGUCUGAGCUAGGCUUACCUCACCCACACUCUUUCUCCUCACUUUCUCUUCUCACUUUAGUCUCCAAUAGUAUAGCGUCAGACGUCAGACACACGAAUCCGCGUGUACGAUAACGUCAUUGGCCCCGAUUCCUGCCAAGAGGAAUGAUAAUUUUAAAAGGAAUUAAAUAGCAACCCGGGCGAAUCAAAUAGGCAUCUCGCUGGUAUGUUUAGUUUGACUAGUGAUGUCAACUUAUACUGUCGGGUUACCAAUGUAAAGUUUGGCGAGGGUUGUUUAAGAUUUCGGCCUAAAAUAACUUUACUUAUAAAUUUUAUAUGCCUGUCGAUUGCCCGUCCCUUUUCUUUUCGGCGGAUAAAAAAAUGACAGAAGUCAAUUAUCAUGACUUCAUCCAUGGCGCGGACUCCACCUUACAGACACCCCGCUAGCCACAAGUUGAUGGUGGAACUAGGAAUCGACGAUCAAACGGUUCUGGUUGUGUAUAUGCGUCGCGCUGUGUAAACUUCGUUAGCGCGUUUUAGGACUCGAUAAGCGCCAUCUAUGAUGAAUGUGCGGAACUAGUAGAUCCGCCACGGAGUCUCAUAGAAAAUUUCAUUUAUAAGGAUUGAUAAGCGAAGGAGCAUAAUAUUUGAAAGCUCAUUUACCCAAUGUAUGAAAAGAAAAAUAGAAGGUGUUCCAUUUUGUUAUAGGAAAAUAAAGGUAGUUAUGAUUUUAAAGUACAAUAAGCUGCAAAAGUCCAGUUUUUUUGCAAAGUAAUAAAUUAACUGCUUGCACUUAAGACCUCUGGUUACA